UCCGCUAUGGUGUAGUGGCUAGCAUUGGUCGCUUUCAUACUGAGUGCCGACUAGACCCGGGUUCAAUUCCCGGUGGCGGAA
Geopyxis carbonaria is the source of this 81-nucleotide non-coding RNA. Lineage: Eukaryota; Fungi; Ascomycota; Pezizomycetes; Pezizales; Tarzettaceae. The record is from the annotation of a GenBank genome assembly.